GAGGGUAUAGCUCAUUGGUAGAGCACAUGCCCAGCAUGCAUGAGGUCCUGGGUUCAAUUCCCAGUGCCUCCA
RNAcentral lists this transfer RNA (72 nucleotides) under Camelus ferus (Wild Bactrian camel). It matches the Rfam family "tRNA". From Rfam's summary of the family: Transfer RNA (tRNA) molecules are approximately 80 nucleotides in length. Their secondary structure includes four short double-helical elements and three loops (D, anti-codon, and T loops). Further hydrogen bonds mediate the characteristic L-shaped molecular structure. tRNAs have two regions of fundamental functional importance: the anti-codon, which is responsible for specific mRNA codon recognition, and the 3' end, to which the tRNAs corresponding amino acid is attached (by aminoacyl-tRNA synthetases). tRNAs cope with the degeneracy of the genetic code in two manners: having more than one tRNA (with a specific anti-codon) for a particular amino acid; and 'wobble' base-pairing, i.e. permitting non-standard base-pairing at the 3rd anti-codon position. The record is from Rfam by way of RNAcentral. Lineage: Eukaryota; Metazoa; Chordata; Mammalia; Artiodactyla; Camelidae.